AUUGAACCGCUGGCGGCAUGCCUUACACAUGCAAGUCGAACGGCAGCACGGGAGCAAUCCUGGUGGCGAGUGGCGAACGGGUGAGUAAUAUAUCGGAACGUGCCCAGUCGUGGGGGAUAACGUAGAGAAAUUUACGCUAAUACCGCAUACGAUCUAAGGAUGAAAGCGGGGGACUCGCAAGAGCCUCGCGCGAUUGGAGCGGCUGAUAUCAGAUUAGGUUGUUGGUGAGGUAAAAGCUCACCAAGCCGACGAUCUGUAGCUGGUUUGAGAGAACGACCAGCCACACUGGGACUGAGACACGGCCCAGACUCCUACGGGAGGCAGCAGUGGGGAAUUUUGGACAAUGGGCGAAAGCCUGAUCCAGCAAUGCCGCGUGCAGGAAGAAGGCCUUCGGGUUGUAAACUGCUUUUGUACGGAACGAAACGGUCUGCCCUAAUACGGUGGGCUAAUGACGGUACCGUAAGAAUAAGCACCGGCUAACUACGUGCCAGCAGCCGCGGUAAUACGUAGGGUGCGAGCGUUAAUCGGAAUUACUGGGCGUAAAGCGUGCGCAGGCGGUUAUAUAAGACAGUUGUGAAAUCCCCGGGCUCAACCUGGGAAUUGCAUCUGUGACUGUAUGGCUAGAGUACGGUAGAGGGGGAUGGAAUUUCCGC
This 653-nucleotide ribosomal RNA is filed under the name uncultured bacterium. RNAcentral describes it as "bacterial SSU rRNA". It matches the Rfam family "Bacterial small subunit ribosomal RNA", at positions 28 to 673 of the family's 1533-position model. The record is from RNAcentral.